RNAcentral lists this ribosomal RNA (498 nucleotides) under uncultured bacterium. RNAcentral describes it as "partial 16S ribosomal RNA". It matches the Rfam family "Bacterial small subunit ribosomal RNA", at positions 30 to 523 of the family's 1533-position model. The record is from RNAcentral.
AUUGAACGCUGGCGGCAUGCUUUACACAUGCAAGUCGAACGGCAGCGCGGGGCAACCUGGCGGCGAGUGGCGAACGGGUGAGUAAUAUAUCGGAACGUACCCAGAAGUGGGGGAUAACGUAGCGAAAGUUACGCUAAUACCGCAUACGAUCUACGGAUGAAAGUGGGGGACCUUCGGGCCUCAUGCUUUUGGAGCGGCCGAUAUCUGAUCAGCUAGUAGGUAGGGUAUAGGCCUACCUAGGCGACGAUCAGUAGCUGGUCUGAGAGGACGACCAGCCACACUGGAACUGAGACACGGUCCAGACUCCUACGGGAGGCAGCAGUGGGGAAUUUUGGACAAUGGGCGCAAGCCUGAUCCAGCAAUGCCGCGUGAGUGAAGAAGGCCUUCGGGUUGUAAAGCUCUUUUGUCAGGGAAGAAACGGUUGGGGCUAAUAUCCUCGGCUAAUGACGGUACCUGAAGAAUAAGCACCGGCUAACUACGUGCCAGCCGCCGCCGUAA